GACGUAGGGCGCGAGCGUUGUCCGGAUUGAUUGGGCGUAAAGAGCUCGUAGGCGGCUCGUUGCGUCGGCUGUGAAAACCCGCAGCUCAACUGUGGGCCUGCAGCUGAUACGGGCGGGCUGGAGUUCGGUAGGGGAGACUGGAAUUCCUGGUGUAGCGGUGAAAUGCGCAGAUAUCAGGAGGAACACCGGUGGCGAAGGCGGAUCUCUGGGCCUUACCUGACGCUCAGGCGCGAAAGCUAGGGGAGCGAACAGG
RNAcentral lists this ribosomal RNA (253 nucleotides) under uncultured bacterium. RNAcentral describes it as "partial 16S ribosomal RNA". It matches the Rfam family "Bacterial small subunit ribosomal RNA", at positions 524 to 776 of the family's 1533-position model. The record is from RNAcentral.